UCAUUAUCAACCAUCAAGCUCUGCUUGGCAUUGAUUGUCACCCCCCUCCCCGGGGGCGCGAUCUAAACUGGUCGGCUGUGGUCUGUGAACCGUUGGCGUUAGUAAAAAACUUCCCGCUACUCGGUAACAGGUCGCAAGCCUCCAAAACCCAACACCUCAAGGUUGACCUCGGAUCAGGUAGGGAUACCCGCUGAACUUAA
Molecule: unclassified non-coding RNA, 200 nt
Filed under: soil metagenome
Description: partial contains internal transcribed spacer 2 and large subunit ribosomal RNA
Source: RNAcentral